AUUCUCUUAAAGGUAUCCAGCAGCUGGCAGGAAAACCAGCCAUGGGACCCGGAGAGUUCCCGAGUGGGUGCCAGGAGGCAGCUGUGCAAGCUGGAUGUAACUAAGCCCUCCAUGGGCACUCCGUGACCCAGGGUCUGUCACUCCGUGUCCUGGAGCAUGCUUUCUUCAGAGAGGCCUCCUUCACCUUGCUCAGAACCGGCUUUCCAGGAGGUUCCCACGCCUAGCUGCCCUGGCAGACACCCAGGGAGGAAAGGCAGCGUGGCCUUGGCAGCUGCCUGCCAGUAAGGAGUCCACAGGUGCCAGGGAGAAGCCAUUGCCCUGUCCUGACCCCCUUCGGCAACCCUGGUGCCUUGCACGGGGCCGAGUCCUCAGGGAUGAUGACAUAGAUCAAUUAAUCAGCACACACUGACGAUGCCUGUUGACUCUGGAUCUCCUGACUCUUACGGCCUCAUCUGAGAUAAAGGGCAGCUCCUGUCUUUCCUCUCCUCACCAAGGAUAAUGCUUGGGGAAGCCUUGGCAGGGAAACUCAUAAACAUCCCCAAAGGUCACUGAAUGCUAAAGCGAUCUGCCCUACUC
This 576-nucleotide long non-coding RNA is filed under the name Equus asinus (donkey). RNAcentral describes it as "lncRNA (ENSEASG00005037145.1)". The record is from RNAcentral. Lineage: Eukaryota; Metazoa; Chordata; Mammalia; Perissodactyla; Equidae.